ACGGAAGGCAGCAGUGGGGAAUAUUGCACAAUGGGGGAAACCCUGAUGCAGCGACGCCGCGUGAGUGAUGAAGUAUUUCGGUAUGUAAAGCUCUAUCAGCAGGGAAGAUAAUGACGGUACCUGACUAAGAAGCACCGGCUAAAUACGUGCCAGCAGCCGCGGUAAUACGUAUGGUGCAAGCGUUAUCCGGAUUUACUGGGUGUAAAGGGAGCGUAGGCGGCGAUGCAAGUCAGAAGUGAAAGCCCGGGGCUUAACCCCGGGACUGCUUUUGAAACUGUGUUGCUAGAUUGCAGGAGAGGUAAGUGGAAUUCCUAGUGUAGCGGUGAAAUGCGUAGAUAUUAGGAGGAACACCAGUGGCGAAGGCGGCUUACUGGACUGUAAAUGACGCUGAGGCUCGAAAGCGUGGGGAGCAAACAGGAUUAGAUACCCUGGUA
RNAcentral lists this ribosomal RNA (434 nucleotides) under uncultured Coprococcus sp. Its description in RNAcentral is "partial 16S ribosomal RNA". It matches the Rfam family "Bacterial small subunit ribosomal RNA", at positions 341 to 792 of the family's 1533-position model. The record is from RNAcentral. Lineage: Bacteria; Bacillati; Bacillota; Clostridia; Lachnospirales; Lachnospiraceae.